UACGUAGGGGGCAAGCGUUGUCCGGAAUUACUGGGCGUAAAGCGCGUGUAGGCGGGACGGUUAGUCGGACGUGAAAGGCUGGGGCUCAACCCCAGAUCGCCGUUCGAAACUGCCGUUCUUGAGGGUCGAAGAGGAGAGUGGAAUUCCUGGUGUAGCGGUGAAAUGCGUAGAGAUCAGGAGGAACACCCAUGGCGAAGGCAGCUCUCUGGUCGACAUCUGACGCUGAGACGCGAAAGCGUGGGGAGCGAACGGG
Molecule: ribosomal RNA, 253 nt
Filed under: uncultured bacterium
Lineage: Bacteria
Description: partial 16S ribosomal RNA
Rfam family: Bacterial small subunit ribosomal RNA
Source: RNAcentral